This 1332-nucleotide ribosomal RNA is filed under the name uncultured bacterium. RNAcentral's name for it is "bacterial SSU rRNA". It matches the Rfam family "Bacterial small subunit ribosomal RNA", at positions 28 to 1381 of the family's 1533-position model. The record is from RNAcentral.
GACGAACGCUGGCGGCGCGCCUAACACAUGCAAGUCGAACGAGAGAUGAGGAGCUUGCUCUUCAAAUCGAGUGGCGAACGGGUGAGUAACGCGUGAGGAACCUGCCUCAAAGAGGGGGACAACAGUUGGAAACGACUGCUAAUACCGCAUAAGCCCACGGCUCGGCAUCGAGCAGAGGGAAAAGGAGCAAUCCGCUUUGAGAUGGCCUCGCGUCCGAUUAGCUAGUUGGUGAGGUAACGGCCCACCGAGGCGACGAUCGGUAGCCGGACUGAGAGGUUGAACGGCCACAUUGGGACUGAGACACGGCCCAGACUCCUACGGGAGGCAGCAGUGGGGAAUAUUGCACAAUGGGGGAAACCCUGAUGCAGCGACGCCGCGUGGAGGAAGAAGGUCUUCGGAUUGUAAACUCCUGUUGUUGAGGAAGAUAAUGACGGUACUCAACAAGGAAGUGACGGCUAACUACGUGCCAGCAGCCGCGGUAAAACGUAGGUCACAAGCGUUGUCCGGAAUUACUGGGUGUAAAGGGAGCGCAGGCGGGAGAACAAGUUGGAAGUGAAAUCCAUGGGCUCAACCCAUGAACUGCUUUCAAAACUGUUUUUCUUGAGUAGUGCAGAGGUAGGCGGAAUUCCCGGUGUAGCGGUGGAAUGCGUAGAUAUCGGGAGGAACACCAGUGGCGAAGGCGGCCUACUGGGCACCAACUGACGCUGAGGCUCGAAAGUGUGGGUAGCAAACAGGAUUAGAUACCCUGGUAGUCCACACCGUAAACGAUGAUUACUAGGUGUUGGAGGAUUGACCCCUUCAGUGCCGCAGUUAACACAAUAAGUAAUCCACCUGGGGAGUACGACCGCAAGGUUGAAACUCAAAGGAAUUGACGGGGGCCCGCACAAGCAGUGGAGUAUGUGGUUUAAUUCGACGCAACGCGAAGAACCUUACCAAGUCUUGACAUCCCUUGACGAACAUAGAAAUAUGUUUUCUCUUCGGAGCAAGGAGACAGGUGGUGCAUGGUUGUCGUCAGCUCGUGUCGUGAGAUGUUGGGUUAAGUCCCGCAACGAGCGCAACCCUUAUGGUCAGUUACUACGCAAGAGGACUCUGGCCAGACUGCCGUUGACAAAACGGAGGAAGGUGGGGAUGACGUCAAAUCAUCAUGCCCUUUAUGACUUGGGCUACACACGUACUACAAUGGCGUUAAACAAAGAGAAGCAAGACCGCGAGGUGGAGCAAAACUCAGAAACAACGUCCCAGUUCGGACUGCAGGCUGCAACUCGCCUGCACGAAGUCGGAAUUGCUAGUAAUCGUGGAUCAGCAUGCCACGGUGAAUACGUUCCCGGGCCU